This 257-nucleotide ribosomal RNA is filed under the name uncultured prokaryote. Its description in RNAcentral is "partial 16S ribosomal RNA". It matches the Rfam family "Bacterial small subunit ribosomal RNA", at positions 521 to 776 of the family's 1533-position model. The record is from RNAcentral.
UAAUACGGGGGGAGCAAGCGUUGUUCGGAUUUACUGGGCGUAAAGGGCGCGUAGGCGGCCACCGCAAGUCGACUGUGAAAUCUCUGGGCUUAACCCAGAACGGUCAGCCGAUACUGCGGGGCUAGAGUGCAGAAGGGGCAACUGGAAUUCUCGGUGUAGCGGUGAAAUGCGUAGAUAUCGAGAGGAACACCUGCGGCGAAGGCGGGUUGCUGGGCUGACACUGACGCUGAGGCGCGAAAGCUAGGGGAGCGAACGGG